This 148-nucleotide non-coding RNA is filed under the name Pan paniscus (pygmy chimpanzee). RNAcentral also lists the same sequence under 1 other name. The record is from Rfam by way of RNAcentral. Lineage: Eukaryota; Metazoa; Chordata; Mammalia; Primates; Hominidae.
GCCAGGCGUAGUGGUGUGCGCCUGUAAUCCCUGCUACUUAGGAGGCUGAGGCAGGAGAAUCACUUGAACCCGGGAGGCGGAGGCUGCAGUGAGCCGCGAUGGUGCCACUGCACUCCAGCCUGGGAGACAAAGUGAGACUCUGUUUCAA